RNAcentral lists this ribosomal RNA (378 nucleotides) under uncultured bacterium. RNAcentral's name for it is "bacterial SSU rRNA". It matches the Rfam family "Bacterial small subunit ribosomal RNA", at positions 29 to 407 of the family's 1533-position model. The record is from RNAcentral.
AUUGAACGCUGGCGGCGUGCCUAACACAUGCAAGUCGAGCGGUAACGCGGGGGUAACCCUGGCGACGAGCGGCGGACGGGUGAGUAACGCUUAGGAAUCUUCCCAGUAGUGGGGGAACAACCCGGGGGAAACUCGGGCUAAUACCGCAUACGCCCUUCGGGGGAAGGCGGAGGACCGUAAGGCCUCGCGCUAUUGGAUGAGCCUAAGUCGGAUUAGCUAGUUGGUAGGGUAACGGCCUACCAAGGCGACGAUCGGUAGCUGGCUGAGAGGACGACCAGCCACACUGGGACUGAGACACGGCCCAGACUCCUACGGGAGGCAGCAGUAGGGAAUAUUGGUUCAUGGAUGGAAGUCUGAACCAGCCAUGCCGCGUGCAGG